Molecule: ribosomal RNA, 253 nt
Filed under: uncultured bacterium
Lineage: Bacteria
Description: partial 16S ribosomal RNA
Rfam family: Bacterial small subunit ribosomal RNA
Source: RNAcentral
UACGUAGGGGGCUAGCGUUGUCCGGAAUCAUUGGGCGUAAAGAGCGUGUAGGCGGUCCGGUAAGUCCGCUGUGAAAGUCGGGGGCUCAACCCUCGAAUGCCGGUGGAUACUGUCGGGCUAGAGUGCGGAAGAGGCGAGUGGAAUUCCUGGUGUAGCGGUGAAAUGCGCAGAUAUCAGGAGGAACACCGGUGGCGAAGGCGGCAUCCUGGACCGGUAUUGACGCUGAGGCGCGAAAGCCAGGGGAGCAAACGGG